UACGGAGGGGGCUAGCGUUGUUCGGAAUUACUGGGCGUAAAGCGCACGUAGGCGGCUUUGUAAGUUAGAGGUGAAAGCCCGGGGCUCAACUCCAGAACUGCCUUUGAUACUGGCGAUCUUGAGUCCGGGAGAGGUGAGUGGAACUGCGAGUGUAGAGGUGAAAAUUCGUAGAUAUUCGCAAGAACACCAGUGGCGAAGGCGGCUCACUGGCCCGGUACUGACGCUGAGGUGCGAAAGCGUGGGGAGCAAACAGGG
RNAcentral lists this ribosomal RNA (255 nucleotides) under uncultured bacterium. RNAcentral describes it as "partial 16S ribosomal RNA". It matches the Rfam family "Bacterial small subunit ribosomal RNA", at positions 524 to 777 of the family's 1533-position model. The record is from RNAcentral.